GAUGAACGCUGGCGGCGUGCCUAAUACAUGCAAGUCGAGCGAACAGACGAGGAGCUUGCUCCUCUGACGUUAGCGGCGGACGGGUGAGUAACACGUGGAUAACCUACCUAUAAGACUGGGAUAACUUCGGGAAACCGGAGCUAAUACCGGAUAAUAUAUUGAACCGCAUGGUUCAAUAGUGAAAGACGGUUUUGCUGUCACUUAUAGAUGGAUCCGCGCCGCAUUAGCUAGUUGGUAAGGUAACGGCUUACCAAGGCGACGAUGCGUAGCCGACCUGAGAGGGUGAUCGGCCACCCUGGAACUGAGACACGGCCGAGACUCCUAGGGGGGGCAGCGGUAGGGAAUCUUCCGCAAGGGGGGAGAGCCUGAUGGAGCAACGCCGGGUGAAUGAUGAAGGUCUUCGGAUGGUAAAGCUCUGUUAUUAGGGAAGAUCAAAUGUGUAAGUGACUAUGCACGCCUUGACGGUACCUAAUCAGAAAGCCACGGCUAACUACGUG
Molecule: ribosomal RNA, 497 nt
Filed under: uncultured bacterium
Lineage: Bacteria
Description: partial 16S ribosomal RNA
Rfam family: Bacterial small subunit ribosomal RNA
Source: RNAcentral